AGCGGCGGACGGGUGAGUAACACGUAAGGAACCUGCCUCAAGGAUUGGGAUAACUCCGAGAAAUCGGAGCUAAUACCGGAUAGUUCAUCGGACCGCAUGGUCCGUUGAUGAAAGGCGCUCCGGCGUCACCUUGAGAUGGCCUUGCGGUGCAUUAGCUAGUUGGUGGGGUAACGGCCCACCAAGGCGACGAUGCAUAGCCGACCUGAGAGGGUGAUCGGCCACACUGGGACUGAGACACGGCCCAGACUCCUACGGGAGGCAGCAGUAGGGAAUCUUCCACAAUGGACGAAAGUCUGAUGGAGCAACGCCGCGUGAGUGAUGAAGGUUUUCGGAUCGUAAAACCCUGUUGUAAGGGAAGAACACGUACGAGAGGGAAUGCUCGUACCUUGACGGUACCUUACGAGAAAGCCACGGCUAACUACGUGCCAGCAGCCGCGGUAAUACGUAGGUGGCAAGCGUUGUCCGGAAUUAUUGGGCGUAAAGCGCGCGCAGGCGGCCUUUUAAGUCUGAUGUGAAAGCCCCCGGCUCAACCGGGGAGGGCCAUUGGAAACUGGAAGGCUUGAGUACAGAAGAGAAGAGUGGAAUUCCACGUGUAGCGGUGAAAUGCGUAGAGAUGUGGAGGAACACCAGUGGCGAAGGCGACUCUUUGGUCUGUAACUGACGCUGAGGCGCGAAAGCGUGGGGAGCAAACAGGAUUAGA
RNAcentral lists this ribosomal RNA (700 nucleotides) under uncultured bacterium. RNAcentral's name for it is "bacterial SSU rRNA". It matches the Rfam family "Bacterial small subunit ribosomal RNA", at positions 94 to 782 of the family's 1533-position model. The record is from RNAcentral.